Molecule: long non-coding RNA, 360 nt
Filed under: Equus caballus (horse)
Lineage: Eukaryota; Metazoa; Chordata; Mammalia; Perissodactyla; Equidae
Description: lncRNA (ENSECAG00000053598.1)
Source: RNAcentral
UGUGAUCUAGUUACAGCACAGAUCAAGCUAGGACGAAGAAAUCUCCUUGGAAUUAGAUGGAGUUGGUGAAGCACAGGGACACAAUAAAGACUGAUUCCCUCAAUAAUGCUCCAGAUCCAGCGCCUUCCCAGCAGCCCUGCACACCUCUGUGAGACUUGACUACAGAGUGAGAGCCUGACUGUCAAAUUCUACCAUAUGAAAGUGUUUUUAUUUCCUUGUAUUUGGGUCCUCAAGUCCGGAGCCACAUCCUUUCUCAGGCCACACCAAUCCCAAGAGAACAACAAAAGAUGGCAAGGCAAACACUGCUUCCUCACCCUGGAAGACCCUCCCAAUCCUUGGAAAACAAGCAGAGGCGGCCAG